RNAcentral lists this long non-coding RNA (682 nucleotides) under Mytilus galloprovincialis (Mediterranean mussel). The record is from RNAcentral. Lineage: Eukaryota; Metazoa; Mollusca; Bivalvia; Mytilida; Mytilidae.
ACAUAGGAUAUGGGAUUAAAUUAAAAUUAAAUCUCUCACUUGCUCAUUUUUUAAUGCUUGGUCGCAGCGUAAGAGAUUUAAUUUUAAUUAGAUUGUAUUAGACGUAACAAGCAAUGAUUUGUCACCAAAACUAUUGUUGUGUUGAUCAUAUUUGAUUCAUGUAUGGCCAAUUCCAUGUAUAUUUUUACAGCAAUUCUGAUCUUUCAUUCUGCUCUGAUAGAUUUGUACGUUGCAUUGUGUAAGACCUAAAAUCAUCUCAUAAGGGGUCAUGUUCAAUGACUAUACCCUUAAAAACUUUCUAUAUUUUUUUGCCAUAUGAACUAUAAAUAAUAUUGUUGAAAAAAUUCAGCGGCUUUUUUCAUAAAUUAUCUCAAGAGUAAAAAUGAUGUCUCAAGCAAAAUUACUUUUGUCUAGCUGAAAAUAUUGCUCAAGUCAACCAGCAUGAUUCAAAUGUCUUUAUUUAUCCCAGUUUAACUGAGUCUUUUAAUCGCUCUAAAGAUCUGAAUAGAAUUUCCCUCAUCCAAAAAUAGAGGUCAAUAGAUAAAUUAUUUAUAAUGCAAAGUUUUUGUUUUCCAUCUGAACACAUGGAUGCCAUAUUUUGUCACUUUUAUGUGAUUUUAACAAGGUAUUUUAUUUUACCUUGGAUAAUCUCUCUUUCAUGUUUGUAAAAUAUCUUUAUUUU